AGUGAACGCUGGCGGUAGGCCUAACACAUGCAAGUCGAACGGCAGCACAGUAAGAGCUUGCUCUUACGGGUGGCGAGUGGCGGACGGGUGAGGAAUACAUCGGAAUCUACUUUUUCGUGGGGGAUAACGUAGGGAAACUUACGCUAAUACCGCAUACGACCUACGGUUGAAAGCAGUGGAUCUUCGGAUCUUGCGCGAUUGAAUUAGCCGAUGUCGGAUUAGCUAGUUGGCGGGGUAAAGGCCCACCAAGGCGACGAUCCGUAGCUGGUCUGAGAGGAUGAUCAGACACACUGGAACUGAGACACGGGCCAGACUCCUACGGGAGGAAGCAGUGGGGAAUAUUGGAAAAUGGGCGCAAGCCUGAUCCAGCCAUACCGCGUGGGUGAAGAAGGCCUUCGGGUUGUAAAGCCCUUUUGUUGGGAAAGAAAAGCAGCAGGUUAAUACCCCGCUGUUCUGACGGUACCCAAAGAAUAAGCACCGGCUAACUUCGUG
RNAcentral lists this ribosomal RNA (492 nucleotides) under uncultured bacterium. RNAcentral's name for it is "partial 16S ribosomal RNA". It matches the Rfam family "Bacterial small subunit ribosomal RNA", at positions 29 to 507 of the family's 1533-position model. The record is from RNAcentral.